GAUGAACGCUGGCGGCGUGCCUAAUACAUGCAAGUCGAGCGAACAGACGUGGAGCUUACUCCUCUGACGUUAGCGGCGGACGGGUGAGUAACACGUGUAUAACCUACCUAUCUGACUGGGAUAACUUCGGGAAACCGGAUCUUAUCCCGUAUAACAUCUUGAACCGCAUGGUUCAACAGUGAAAUUCGGUCUUGCUGGCACUUAUAGCUGGAUCCGCGGCGCAUUGGCUAGUUGGUAAGGUAACGGCUUACCAAGGCAACGAUGCGUAGCCGACCGGAGAGGGGGAUCGGCCACACUGGAGCUGGAACACGGUCCAGACUCCUACGGGAGGCAGCAGUAGGGAAUCUUCCGCAAUGGGCGGAAGCCUGACGGAGCAGCGCCACGCGAGUGAAGAAGGUCUUCGGAGCGUAAAACUCUGUUAUUAGGGAAGAACAAAUGUGUAAGUAACUAUGCACGUCUUGACGGUACCUAAUCAGAAAGCCACGGCUAACUACGUG
RNAcentral lists this ribosomal RNA (497 nucleotides) under uncultured bacterium. RNAcentral's name for it is "partial 16S ribosomal RNA". It matches the Rfam family "Bacterial small subunit ribosomal RNA", at positions 28 to 507 of the family's 1533-position model. The record is from RNAcentral.